CCUACGGGUGGCAGCAGUAGGGGAUCUUUCACAAUGGGCGAAAGCCUGAUGUAGCGACGCCGCGUGCAGGAUGAAGGCCUUCGGGUUGUAAACUGCUUUUAUAAGCGAGAAAUAUGAUGGUAACUUAUGAAUAAGGCUCGGCUAACUACGUGCCAGCAGCCGCGGUCAUACGUAGGAGCCGAGCAUUAUCCGGAUUGACUGGGUGUAAAGAGUUGGGUAGGUGGAAUAAUAAGUAGCGAGGGAAAUCUGGUGGCCCAACCAUUCAGACUAUUAGCUAAACUGUUAAGCUCGAGAGCGUUAGGGGUAACUGGAAUUUCUAGUGUAGGAGUGAAAUCCGUAGAUAUUAGAAAGAACACCAAUAGCGUAGGCAGGUUACUGGGACGGUUCUGACACUAAGGCACGAAAGCGUAGGGAGCAAACGGGAUUAGAUACCCGAGUAGUC
This 442-nucleotide ribosomal RNA is filed under the name uncultured bacterium. RNAcentral describes it as "partial 16S ribosomal RNA". It matches the Rfam family "Bacterial small subunit ribosomal RNA", at positions 338 to 795 of the family's 1533-position model. The record is from RNAcentral.